Molecule: ribosomal RNA, 659 nt
Filed under: Bacillus cereus
Lineage: Bacteria; Bacillati; Bacillota; Bacilli; Caryophanales; Bacillaceae
Description: bacterial SSU rRNA
Rfam family: Bacterial small subunit ribosomal RNA
Source: RNAcentral
CGUACCUUCGUUACCUCUUUAACAGUCUUUUAGAAUCCCAUCUUUUGGUUAUUCCGCAAGGGUGUAACCCAAAAGAAAUUAGACAAAGGGAUGCCCACGCCAUGGAGCAUGUCGGUUAUUUUUUGUUGCAACGCGAAGAACCUUACCAGGUCCUGACAUCCUCUGAAAACCCUAGAGAUAGGGCUUCUCCUUCGGGAGCAGAGUGACAGGUGGUGCAUGGUUGUCGUCAGCUCGUGUCGUCGAGAUGUUGGGUUAAGUCGCCGCAACGAGCGCAACCCUUGAUCUUAGUUGCCAUCAUUAAGUUGGGCACUCUAAGGUGACUGCCGGUGACAAACCGGAGGAAGGUGGGGCAAUGACGUGCAAAUCAUCAUGCCCCUUAUGACCUGGGCUACACACGUGCUACAAUGGACGGUACAAAGAGCUGCAAGACCGCGAGGUGGAGCUAAUCUCAUAAAACCGUUCUCAGUUCGGAUUGUAGGCUGCAACUCGCCUACAUGAAGCUGGAAAGACUUCGCUAGUAAUCGCGGAUCAGCAUGCCGCGGUGAAUACGUUCCCGGGCCUUGUACAGCACCGCCCGUCACACCACGAGAGUUUGUAUACACCCGAAGUCGGUGGGGUAACCUUUAUGGAGCCAGCCGCCUAUGGUGAUCCGAGUGGGG